AAGUUUCCUCUGCGUGUUAGAUGAAUAAAUGUUCAGAGCACAAGCAAUUAUUAUUCCAAAGGAGCACUAAGUUUGUUCCAUCUGCUUUGAUACCCUGACCUUCCAAUGAGAUUUGCACAGUCACCGCAGUUAAUACCACUGGUGGAGUAUAGAUAGCUGCUUUUCCGGAGUAUUUGCUGCUUCCCAUUUUAUACGAGCAUUGCUCUUCUUUGGAUAGCACAGUUGCUGUAAGUCCAGCUUUUGUUCCCACUGGAAGGCAGUUUUUAUGUCAGCAGGAUGCAGGGGUUAGCUUGGCUGAGCAGGAACAGCCCACAGCAGGCUGAGCUCUGCCAGGAGAAAAUCAACAUGCAAACCACCUGAGCCAAACAACGAUGACCCAGGCUUUAGAAUGGAGCAUGUCACCUUGGCUAGUUAUUUAAUGAUUCAGGCAUUCACACUGUCUGCUUCCCUACAAGCAGAAGGGUCAGAGUAUGUCACAGUGUAUCAGCUAAGCUUGGGAAUGCUGCUCUGGGAAGACAGCCCCUCUGAGCGCAGCAUCUCAACCUGUACCAGCCUUCAAGAGGGGACAGCACUCCCCAGCCUGCUUUAUGCCAUCCCAAGUUAGUCUACUUGCAUAAAAGCUGGAUGUCUGUAUACCCAUUAGUCUCAAACCCCGCGUACUGAGGUACACCUGACAAACACGUGAGGCUGUGCACAUUACCCAGGAGGUGUGAUGUUAAACAGAUAAGUAUUAGGAAUGGAUCCAGCCAGGAUGUUGAUGUGAGAGGAUGAUACGCUUCCCUCCCACACUGCUUAUCACAUGAGAAUGACAAUAUAAACACUUGCUCUUUAAGCAGCGGAAACAAGGACAGCUCUUAGAGGAGACUCCUUGUUCUCCACUGCACUGCUCUGCACUGAGAGGCUUCAGAGAUGCUAGCAGCUGGCGCUAUGAGCUGCUUUGGUUGAAGUAUAAAUGUUUGUCUCCAAAAGCAAGCACAGUGUAUUUGGAUGCUCUGCUUCCAAAAGUGCAACAGCAUCUGGAGACCCAGGUGGGACCCCACAGGUGACGGUCCUCUCGGCACCAAGUGUCCAGUUGCCAGCAGCAGGUGAGUUCACUUUGGGGGACUUUGGUGAUGGGAGGUGCCAAGCAGCAAGCCUUCAAUUUCCGCUACUAAAUGCAGGCUUGGAAGCACGCUACGUGUGGGAAAUAUACUUGGUGCAGGAAAGGGGAUGUCCUUAGCCAAGGUGCUGGAAAGCUGAAGGAAAACAGAUGAAACUGCAGAUCUAUCAACAAAAACGAGAUGAACUUGGUGCUCCCUUUCCGGAUGAUCGUUUGGAUCCGGAUUUUGUGCCUGUGCCUCUGGGACAACCCAGAGGCCCUGCUGGUGAAUCAGCAGAACAGAAUCCUGCCUCUGAGCCUGAAGGGGAUGCUGGAGAUGUGACUGGAGGAGGUGAUCCAGGUUCCGCUCUGAGCUCUGGGACUGAAACUCCGGCAGAUCGCAUGGGAGUGCCCCCAGGGAGGGCUUUGCCCGGUCAUGUGUUUCCUCCUGCGCUGGAGCCCAGCUGGAAUCCCAGCGGUCCGGAAAAAGGAAAGGAUGAACCCAAAAGAGGAGAAUACUCCCAGGGCUCAUCCCGUCUCCUCAAGGAACUGGUGAAGGAAAUGGAGAAGGCAGCGCGUGGAACUGACCAACAAAGUGAGCAGGAUGCACUGCAGGAAGGCAGCCAUCCCACACUGCCAGUCUUGGGCAAAGGAACGCAGGCAGCGCCAGCAACUGUCAUGCCAGGGAUGAAUGCCGGGACGAGCACAAAGGCUGCUGUUGGCAGAUCUGCGCGAAGGCGCCACAUUGCAGCGAUGGUACUGUUCUCAGCUGUGCUGCUGUCUGCGCUGGUGCUGGCCUGUGGUGCUGUGAUAUGGAUGUGCCAAAAAUACGUAGUGUGCAAGAGAGAAGAGAGAGCAGCAGAGCAGGCUCAUCCUGAUACCAACUAGGAGAGAGUUCCAACUGGAGACGAGGGCAGAACGGAGCUGGGAGAGGCAGCCGAAGAGACUCUUGCCCCAUCAAAGAAGAAUCUCAGCCAUCGUCCCAGUGCAUUCCAUUCUGCCAUCCAAGAGGCCAAAGGUCUUCAAAGUCAUCUGGAAGACUUGGAGCUUGAACUCAAAGCCGUGAAAGAGGUCCACGGGAACAGUCCUGAGUGCUGCUUUCUGUCAGGGGACGGCCCUGAAAGUGAGAGCGGAGAACCAGCAGCAGAGCUUUUGUCCUUCACCCUGCAUUCUCUGGGACAAGCAUCAGCAACAUUUCAAAGAUUCUUAGCUCGGCACAGCUACAAUCCUGUUGAGGGUCCUAAUGAGGAGCCAGAAAGCGAGCUUCCUCUGACCGCUGGACAACACCUUAACGUCUUUGGAGCUGUGGAUGAGAAUGUCUGGUUUCAGGGAGAGCUGACAGAUGGCACAAGAGGACUGGUCCCAUCCAGUUUGGUUGCGGAGGUUUCAGAUGAUGAACUGGAUACAACGAUGCCUCCGGAGCUCUGUGCUCUCCUGCUGGAUACUUGAUGAAUAAGUGGAUGCAGAGAUUCCAUCAUGCAGCAACAUCCUGUCAAAAUUCCUGCGUUACUCCAUCUGCAGGACUACCCCCCGCUCCACUUGAUGUUCAGGUGGAGUGUGUGCAGGACGUGGAUGAGCUUCUUUGGGAACACUCUGAGGUGACUGACAGUGUAACUGCAUAGUCUUGUGGUAUAUUAAACAAACAAACAAACAAACACCACCCACAAUAAAACAACCAACCAACCAAC
Molecule: long non-coding RNA, 2766 nt
Filed under: Gallus gallus (chicken)
Lineage: Eukaryota; Metazoa; Chordata; Aves; Galliformes; Phasianidae
Description: lncRNA (ENSGALG00010018031.1)
Source: RNAcentral